UCCAACGCCGCAUCGCCGGCGUUCCGGACGAGCGCGCCGUACCCGGUCACGACAAGACGGUGCAGU
RNAcentral lists this non-coding RNA (66 nucleotides) under Actinosynnema mirum. RNAcentral also lists the same sequence under 1 other name. The record is from RNAcentral. Lineage: Bacteria; Bacillati; Actinomycetota; Actinomycetes; Pseudonocardiales; Pseudonocardiaceae.